This 423-nucleotide ribosomal RNA is filed under the name uncultured Glomeromycotina. RNAcentral's name for it is "SSU rRNA". It matches the Rfam family "Eukaryotic small subunit ribosomal RNA", at positions 569 to 1000 of the family's 1831-position model. The record is from RNAcentral. Lineage: Eukaryota; Fungi; Glomeromycota.
AGCAGCCGCGGUAAUUCCAGCUCCAAUAGCGUAUAUUAAAGUUGUUGCAGUUAAAAGCUCGUAGUUGAAUUUCGGGAUCAAUUAGUCGGUCGUGCCUCUGGUACGUACUGGUUUUAUUGGUUCCUCCCUUCUGACGAAACAUGAUGUCAUUAAUUUGGUGUCGUGGAGAAUCAGGACUGUUACCUUGAAAAAUUGAGUGUUUAUAGCAGGCUAACGCUUGAAUACAUUAGCAUGGAAUAAUGAAAUAGGACGUUCGACCCUAUUUUGUUGGUUUCUAGGAUCGACGUAAUGAUUAAUAGGGAUAGUUGGGGGCAUUAGUAUUCAAUUGUCAGAGGUGAAAUUCUUGGAUUUAUUGAAGACUAACUACUGCGAAAGCAUUUGCCAAGGAUGUUUUCAUUAAUCAAGAACGAAAGUUAGGGAUCG